ACGCUAGCUACAGGCUUAACACAUGCAAGUCGAGGGGAAACGACAUUGAAGCUUGCUUCGAUGGGCGUCGACCGGCGCACGGGUGAGUAACGCGUAUCCAACCUGCCUCUGACUAGGGGAUAACCCGGCGAAAGUCGGACUAAUACCUUAUGAGGUUUUCUGCAGACAUCUAACGAAAACGAAAGAUUUAUCGGUCAGAGAUGGGGAUGCGUCUGAUUAGCUUGUUGGCGGGGUAACGGCCCACCAAGGCAACGAUCAGUAGGGGUUCUGAGAGGAAGGUCCCCCACAUUGGAACUGAGACACGGUCCAAACUCCUACGGGAGGCAGCAGUGAGGAAUAUUGGUCAAUGGGCGAGAGCCUGAACCAGCCAAGUAGCGUGCAGGAUGACGGCCCUAUGGGUUGUAAACUGCUUUUAUGUGGGGAUAAAGUGAGCUACGUGUAGUUUAUUGCAGGUACCACAUGAAUAAGGACCGGCUAAUUCCGUGCCAGCAGCCGCGGUAAUACGGAAGGUCCAGGCGUUAUCCGGAUUUAUUGGGUUUAAAGGGAGCGUAGGCCGUGGAUUAAGCGUGCUGUGAAAUGUAGACGCUCAACGUCUGAAUUGCAGCGCGAACUGGUUCACUUGAGUAUGCACAACGUAGGCGGAAUUCGUCGUGUAGCGGUGAAAUGCUUAGAUAUGACGAAGAACUCCGAUUGCGAAGGCAGCUUACGGGAGCACAACUGACGCUGAAGCUCGAAGGUGCGGGUAUCAAACAGGAUUAGAUACCCUGGUAGUCCGCACAGUAAACGAUGGAUGCCCGUUGUUGUUCACUUAAGAAUUAGCGACCAAGCGAAAGCAUUAAGCAUCCCACCUGGGGAGUACGCCGGCAACGGUGAAACUCAAAGGAAUUGACGGGGGCCCGCACAAGCGG
Molecule: ribosomal RNA, 908 nt
Filed under: uncultured bacterium
Lineage: Bacteria
Description: bacterial SSU rRNA
Rfam family: Bacterial small subunit ribosomal RNA
Source: RNAcentral